CAGUCAAAGAGGGUAAAAACCCCGUAGACGAAAUGUGGAAGACACCUAGGAGGAUCCUGAGUACGGCGGAACACGAGAAAUUCCGUCGGAAUCCGGGAGGACCAUCUCCCAAGGCUAAAUACUCCCUAGUGACCGAUAGUGAACCAGUACCGUGAGGGAAAGGUGAAAAGCACCCCGGAAGGGGAGUGAAAUAGAACCUGAAACCGUGUGCCUACAACAAGUCAAAGCCCGUUAAUGGGUGAUGGCGUGCCUUUUGUAGAAUGAACCGGCGAGUUACGAUUGCAUGCGAGGUUAAGUUGAAGAGACGGAGCCGCAGCGAAAGCGAGUCUGAAUAGGGCGUUUGAGUAUGUAGUCGUAGACCCGAAACCAUGUGAUCUACCCAUGUCCAGGUUGAAGGUGCGGUAAAACGCACUGGAGGACCGAACCCACGUACGUUGAAAAGUGCGGGGAUGAGGUGUGGGUAGCGGAGAAAUUCCAAACGAACUUGGAGAUAGCUGGUUCUCUCCGAAAUAGCUUUAGGGCUA
This 524-nucleotide ribosomal RNA is filed under the name Salmonella enterica subsp. enterica serovar Virchow. Its description in RNAcentral is "partial 23S ribosomal RNA". It matches the Rfam family "Bacterial large subunit ribosomal RNA", at positions 352 to 878 of the family's 2925-position model. Lineage: Bacteria; Pseudomonadati; Pseudomonadota; Gammaproteobacteria; Enterobacterales; Enterobacteriaceae. The record is from RNAcentral.